Molecule: ribosomal RNA, 460 nt
Filed under: uncultured bacterium
Lineage: Bacteria
Description: partial 16S ribosomal RNA
Rfam family: Bacterial small subunit ribosomal RNA
Source: RNAcentral
CCUACGGGUGACAGCAGUGAGGAAUAUUGGUCAAUGGGCGAGAGCCUGAACCAGCCAAGUCGCGUGAAGGAUGACGGAUCUAUGGUUUGUAAACUUCUUUUAUAUGGGAAUAAAGUGAGGAACGUGUUCCUUUUUGUAUGUACCAUAUGAAUAAGCAUCGGCUAACUCCGUGCCAGCAGCCGCGGUAAUACGGAGGAUGCGAGCGUUAUCCGGAUUUAUUGGGUUUAAAGGGUGCGUAGGUGGUUAAUUAAGUCAGCGGUGAAAGUUUGUGGCUCAACCAUAAAAUUGCCGUUGAAACUGGUUGACUUGAGUAUAUUUGAGGUAGGCGGAAUGCGUGGUGUAGCGGUGAAAUGCAUAGAUAUCACGCAGAACUCCGAUUGCGAAGGCAGCUUACUAAACUAUAACUGACACUGAAGCACGAAAGCGUGGGUAUCAAACAGGAUUAGAUACCCCAGUAGUC